CUCGGACUGCGCGCAGCCUGAUCAGCAUGCCGCGUGUGUGAGAAGGUCUUCGGAUUGUAAAGCACUUUCGACGGGGACGAUGAUGACGGUACCCGUAGAAGAAGCCCCGGCUAACUUCGUGCCAGCAGCCGCGGUAAAUGUGCCAUGCCCCCCGCCAAUAUAAUAA
Molecule: ribosomal RNA, 166 nt
Filed under: uncultured bacterium
Lineage: Bacteria
Description: partial 16S ribosomal RNA
Rfam family: Bacterial small subunit ribosomal RNA (bases 1-148)
Source: RNAcentral